UCUUCGAUAGUACAGGGGUUAGUAUAUCCGCUUUUCAGGAACUCAACUUCCAUGAUUCCCCGCGGACGACCCGGGUUCGAAUCCCGGUCGGAGAA
This 95-nucleotide transfer RNA is filed under the name Cryptococcus neoformans. RNAcentral describes it as "tRNA-Glu". It matches the Rfam family "tRNA". From Rfam's summary of the family: Transfer RNA (tRNA) molecules are approximately 80 nucleotides in length. Their secondary structure includes four short double-helical elements and three loops (D, anti-codon, and T loops). The record is from RNAcentral. Lineage: Eukaryota; Fungi; Basidiomycota; Tremellomycetes; Tremellales; Cryptococcaceae. RNAcentral also lists the same sequence under 1 other name.